RNAcentral lists this transfer RNA (87 nucleotides) under Candidatus Moranbacteria bacterium RIFOXYB1_FULL_43_19. Its description in RNAcentral is "tRNA-Ser". It matches the Rfam family "tRNA". Rfam says of the family: Transfer RNA (tRNA) molecules are approximately 80 nucleotides in length. Their secondary structure includes four short double-helical elements and three loops (D, anti-codon, and T loops). Further hydrogen bonds mediate the characteristic L-shaped molecular structure. tRNAs have two regions of fundamental functional importance: the anti-codon, which is responsible for specific mRNA codon recognition, and the 3' end, to which the tRNAs corresponding amino acid is attached (by aminoacyl-tRNA synthetases). tRNAs cope with the degeneracy of the genetic code in two manners: having more than one tRNA (with a specific anti-codon) for a particular amino acid; and 'wobble' base-pairing, i.e. permitting non-standard base-pairing at the 3rd anti-codon position. RNAcentral also lists the same sequence under 2 other names. The record is from RNAcentral. Lineage: Bacteria; Candidatus Moraniibacteriota.
GGUGGGAUCGCAUAGUGGCCGAGUGCGCUUGCUUGGAAAGCAGGUAGACCUUCACGGGUCUCGAGAGUUCGAAUCUCUCUCCCACCG